Long non-coding RNA from Mandrillus leucophaeus (drill), 592 nucleotides. RefSeq lists it as uncharacterized. Lineage: Eukaryota; Metazoa; Chordata; Mammalia; Primates; Cercopithecidae. The transcript is spliced from 2 exons. The record is from RefSeq and is a predicted model, not a curated record.
CUAGAUUCUUCUUCAGAAACAUAACUCUUAGGCUCAAUCUCUAUUCCUGGUCUUCCACAGCUAUCGUCUUCUUUUUAAAGUACUGUAUUUUAUUGAAUCUAAGCUAGUAUUUGUUGUAGGAAGCACUAUUAUUAUAAGUACAACUAAGGAAGAAAAAAUGCUGCCAAUUAAACUGUGACAUAAUGCCAUGAUUACAGUCCUGUGAAAUUGCUGAGUGCCAUGAGAGGACAGUGACAACCUCGGAGGCCUCAUGGUGAAGGUGGCAGAACCUUUGUUAGCCUGGGUGCUCAGGGUGGACAGCUGCUCUUGCCAACUGGGAACAUCUGCCUCGAGCGCUUUUGUAAGUGACAGAUAAGCUUUUAUUGUACUUCUGCCAGGAUACAAACAUUAGAUGUAUUUGUACAGCAGCUAAAGGUACUCUAAUAACACAUAUUCUGAAAUCACCAUGUACCCUAAAAUAUUUUAACAAAAUUCUUGCAAUAUUUGUAUGAGAACUGCUGGAUUUUGCUUUCUUAACCAAUUUGCUGUUGCUACUGGAAAAAGAGAAUGAAAUGAUCUCAAAUGAGGUAAUAAAAUCAUUACUGAAUUUUAA